RNAcentral lists this unclassified non-coding RNA (332 nucleotides) under soil metagenome. RNAcentral's name for it is "partial contains 5.8S ribosomal RNA, internal transcribed spacer 2, and large subunit ribosomal RNA". The stretch from base 1 to 120 matches the Rfam family "5.8S ribosomal RNA", at positions 35 to 154 of the family's 154-position model. The record is from RNAcentral.
GAUGAAGAACGCAGCGAAAUGCGAUAAGUAGUGUGAAUUGCAGAAUUCAGUGAAUCAUCGAAUCUUUGAACGCACAUUGCGCCCUUUGGUAUUCCUUAGGGCAUGCCUGUUCGAGCGUCAUUUAAACCUUCAAGCUACGCUUGGUGUUGGGUGACUGUCCGCCUCACGGCGGACUCGCCUCAAAAUUAUUGGCGGCCGGUACAUUGGCUUCGAGCGCAGCAGAAACGCGAACUCGGGCCCGUCGUAUUGGCUCCCAGAAGCUAUCUUCACAAUUUUGACCUCGGAUCAGGUAGGGAUACCCGCUGAACUUAAGCAUAUCAAUAAGCGGAGGA